AUUAUUUGUGUCAGAAGUGACCGUUUUUUUUUUCUUUCAUUCUUAGCACAAGAAAUAGGAGAAAGCAGCGGUACUAACCAUAUAUAUGCGGAUCAUUCUUCUUUAAAAUUCAGCUCAUGCUCGACCAUUUUUCUUGAAGACACCACAGCCAGCUGCCCUCAUUUUAAAAUGAC
Molecule: long non-coding RNA, 173 nt
Organism: Sapajus apella (tufted capuchin)
Lineage: Eukaryota; Metazoa; Chordata; Mammalia; Primates; Cebidae
Exons: 2
Source: RefSeq, a predicted model, not a curated record